AAUGAACGCUGGCGGCAGGCCUAACACAUGCAAGUCGAGCGAGCAUUUCGGUGCUAGCGGCGGACGGGUGAGUAACGCGUGGGAACGUGCCCUUUUCUGCGGAAUAGUCCUGGGAAACUGGGGGUAAUACCGCAUACGCCCUUUUGGGGAAAGAUUUAUCGGAGAAGGAUCGGCCCGCGUUGGAUUAGGUAGUUGGUGGGGUAAUGGCCCACCAAGCCGACGAUCCAUAGCUGGUUUGAGAGGAUGAUCAGCCACACUGGGACUGAGACACGGCCCAGACUCGGAGGGGAGGCAGCGAGGGGGAAUGUCAGAGAAUGGGGGAGCACGUGACAGGGCGAGGGGGUGUGAGUGAAGAAGGACGUGGGGUUGAAAAGCGCUGUGGGCGGGGAAGAGAGCGGCGGCACGAGCAGAAGAGCCCCCGGCCAACGCGGGGACAGCAGCCGCGGUAAUAAGGGGACGAGCACACGUCUGAGC
Molecule: ribosomal RNA, 474 nt
Filed under: uncultured bacterium
Lineage: Bacteria
Description: partial 16S ribosomal RNA
Rfam family: Bacterial small subunit ribosomal RNA
Source: RNAcentral